GAGAGGAGAGGAGGCCCACGAUCUAAUCUCAUGAUACCAUGUAGAGAAGUAGAUGGGAAACACCACACACACCAAUGAGGGGGGUUACCUCUAUAUAUAUUGCCAAUAUAGCUUGGAGUACAAGGAAAGGAUAAAUACAUCCUAAUAUACAAAUAUACUUCAUAAUAACAUCACCUGAGAAUCCAAGCUUAGGUCCUUAUUCGAGUAGUCUGUUAAAUCUUUUCUAAGCUUGAUCUAUUCC
Molecule: long non-coding RNA, 241 nt
Filed under: Setaria viridis
Lineage: Eukaryota; Viridiplantae; Streptophyta; Magnoliopsida; Poales; Poaceae
Description: long non-coding RNA (SVIR_LNC009320)
Source: RNAcentral